Molecule: ribosomal RNA, 1346 nt
Filed under: uncultured bacterium
Lineage: Bacteria
Description: bacterial SSU rRNA
Rfam family: Bacterial small subunit ribosomal RNA
Source: RNAcentral
GACGAACGCUGUCGGCGUGCUUAACAUAUGCAAGUCGAACGGAAAGGCCCUGCUUUUGUGGGGUGCUCGAGUGGCGAACGGGUGAGUAACACGUGAGUAACCUGCCCUUGACUUUGGGAUAACUUCAGGAAACUGGGGCUAAUACCGGAUAGGAGCUCCUGCUGCAUGGUGGGGGUUGGAAAGUUUCGGCGGUUGGGGAUGGACUCGCGGCUUAUCAGCUUGUUGGUGGGGUAGUGGCUUACCAAGGCUUUGACGGGUAGCCGGCCUGAGAGGGUGACCGGCCACAUUGGGACUGAGAUACGGCCCAGACUCCUACGGGAGGCAGCAGUGGGGAAUAUUGCACAAUGGGCGGAAGCCUGAUGCAGCAACGCCGCGUGCGGGAUGACGGCCUUCGGGUUGUAAACCGCUUUCGCCUGUGACGAAGCGUGAGUGACGGUAAUGGGUAAAGAAGCACCGGCUAACUACGUGCCAGCAGCCGCGGUGAUACGUAGGGUGCGAGCGUUGUCCGGAUUUAUUGGGCGUAAAGGGCUCGUAGGUGGUUGAUCGCGUCGGAAGUGUAAUCUUGGGGCUUAACCCUGAGCGUGCUUUCGAUACGGGUUGACUUGAGGAAGGUAGGGGAGAAUGGAAUUCCUGGUGGAGCGGUGGAAUGCGCAGAUAUCAGGAGGAACACCAGUGGCGAAGGCGGUUCUCUGGGCCUUUCCUGACGCUGAGGAGCGAAAGCGUGGGGAGCGAACAGGCUUAGAUACCCUGGUAGUCCACGCUGUAAACGGUGGGUACUAGGUGUGGGGUCCAUUCCACGGGUUCCGUGCCGUAGCUAACGCUUUAAGUACCCCGCCUGGGGAGUACGGCCGCAAGGCUAAAACUCAAAGGAAUUGACGGGGCCCCGCACAAGCGGCGGAGCAUGCGGAUUAAUUCGAUGCAACGCGUAGAACCUUACCUGGGUUUGACAUGGAUCGGGAGUGCUCAGAGAUGGGUGUGCCUCUUUUGGGGUCGGUUCACAGGUGGUGCAUGGCUGUCGUCAGCUCGUGUCGUGAGAUGUUGGGUUAAGUCCCGCAACGAGCGCAACCCUUGUUCACUGUUGCCAGCACGUUAUGGUGGGGACUCAGUGGAGACCGCCGGGGUCAACUCGGAGGAAGGUGGGGAUGACGUCAAGUCAUCAUGCCCCUUAUGUCCAGGGCUUCACGCAUGCUACAAUGGCUGGUACAGAGAGUGGCGAGCCUGUGAGGGUGAGCGAAUCUCGGAAAGCCGGUCUCAGUUCGGAUUGGGGUCUGCAACUCGACCUCAUGAAGUCGGAGUCGCUAGUAAUCGCAGAUCAGCAACGCUGCGGUGAAUACGUUCCCGGGGCU